Molecule: long non-coding RNA, 1539 nt
Organism: Culex pipiens pallens (northern house mosquito)
Lineage: Eukaryota; Metazoa; Arthropoda; Insecta; Diptera; Culicidae
Exons: 3
Source: RefSeq, a predicted model, not a curated record
UCGUAAGCUUUUUGUGGAAAAUGUUUGGCAUGAAUUUUUAAAGCAACUGUAGUGCUAGAUUUUUGUCUCAAUUCUUCAAAAAAAAAUUUGGGUGAUUUAAAGUUUCAAAAAAGUUCAAAUUUAGGCAUGCGUAUAUAAUUUUGAGAAACUUUUAAUAAAAUUUGUGGAUUGUGUAACAAUUCAAAUUUCUUACACGCACAAAAAUGUUGCUAGUUUGAAUCAACAAACAUGUUUAUUAAAAUCAACUGCCAUAUUUUAUCGAGUCAACUCACAAAUUUAAUGAAUUCAAUAAACACCUUUAGCCAUCCAACCAUCAUGUUAUUCAGUUUGACAAACUGGUUUAUCGUUUGAGCGUUUCUUCUUUUAAACGUGUAGGGAAAUUUUACUGUGUACUUUCUGUUCAAUAUUCUGCUUUCAAGAUGGCGAACGGGCCAAACAUAAGAAAAUAUCGUGCAAUAUUUUUAUAAAUUAUAAAUCGUGCGAUCGAAUCUUCAUAUUUAUCAUGACAAUUUAAAAAAAGGAUCAAUUUGAAGCUGUUAUCAUAAAAAAGUGACCUCUUUUGAGGAUUCAUCAAGUUGCUCGAAUAGGAUAUUUCUUUAUUUUCCCCUAGCUGUGGACGCCGAAGGGAGCAGGUCUAUCAGGUUCUUCCAUGUUGGCAACUGCAGCGAUGAUCCAAGCUCCAGAAACCGAUGGCGGAAAGUGACAUCGGUUGAGAUCGGUGUUUGGCCACGUAUGUCGAGAAUCAUCACUUAAAAAUUAAUGCAUUUUUAUGUUUCUUGCUCAAAAGAGUUGAAUAAUAAUAAUUGAAAAACAAAAUCUUGACUUUGACAUAUUCAACAAAACAAAACAUUAUGGAACGGUAAAAAGAUGGAUUGAAUCAACAAUCGUGAUGUUUCAACCAACCUAUCAUGAUAGUUCCUUUGACAAUCAUGUUUGUUGGUUUGAUAAAAGCGAUUAUAAAAAUUACAAACAAACAACGUUUUGAUGACAACAAUCUCGUUUAUUAAGCCCACAAACAUGUUAGGUUGAAUUUGGCAAACAUGUUUGCUGGCCCUGAGAUGACAAACAUGUUUGUGAGGUGCAUCAAACAUUUUGCCAGAUUCACAAUCGGAUUUUUCUGCGUGUAUUAAAAGCUUGUAACUUUGGAGAUAAAAAGUUUGAAGUAGUUAAAUUCAGUGUUAGGUCAUAUUAGUACGAACAACUUGAACUCUAUUACAUAGGAAAAGUUCUCCACGAAAUCAGUCGAUUUCUUUGUAUUCGGCAAAAUUGUAGGACUAAUCAGAAAAAAAAACAAAAUUUACCAAGUUUUUAAUUAUAUUUUUAUUAUAAAUAGUUGAAUUCCCAAAUCCGCUACAAUUUUUUGAAGAAAGAGUUAAUUUUAGCAAUUUUUUACAUGCUUUUUUGAUGAAAAAACGAUUUUUGUUUUUGGACACAUUUUUGAAAAAAAGUGAAUAGUUAUUUAAUUAUUUAAGUUUGACUAUGAGAAAAAAAAAACAAUUCUGAAAUAAAAAUUUCAAAAAGUUGAAGUUCUAAGUAUCA